CUGUACAAAAGAAGAGGACUCUUGAAGCAUUCUAAUUUGCAUUUCAUACAAUCCUCCUAAAUUAACCACUGAUCUUCACUUCAUUCACGCCCUUCCCCGAAACCCAACAAUUCUAAUGGAUUCCCAUCCUCCAUCCGACGAACAUACCUCCUCUCCAAAAUCCCCACCAAAUCCUCCCACCACCACCACCACCACCACCUGCUGCAUCAACUGCGGCAGUCCCACCAGCUACUCCCCACCACCCUCCUGGUCCGACUCCUCCCCUCCUCCCUCCUACCUCCCCAUCCGCGCCCCGGCCCUCAACCUCCCUCCGAACCACACCCCCCAACAAUCCAUCAUCCUGGCCCCCGUCCCUCAACCCCUCCAAGUCCCCACUCUCUCUCCUCCUCCCUACCAUUUCCAAAUCCCCACCAAGCGCAUCCUCUCCCCUUCCGACCUCCGCCACUUCCACGACUCCCAUUCCGGCAAACACUUCCUCGGCUUCAUCGCUGCCCUCAGCCACUCCAUCCGCCGCCGCAAGAUCUCCGACCCCUGCCACCUCUCCCCCACCAUCUCCUCCAUCGUCUCUAUCCUCCAAACCCUAAUCCUCUUCGUCGAUGAUAUCCCCCCCCUCGCUCAAUCAUCUCGCUACGGAAACUACUCCUAUCGAACUUGGCAUUCUCGUAUGACGGAAAACGCUGAAUCCUUCAUGCUUGGUUUUCUUCCCCAGGAUCUUCAAUCUGCUACUAUCGAGAUCGUCCCUUACUUCACCGAUAGUUUUGGGAAUUCCAGCCGGAUCGAUUAUGGUACUGGCCACGAAACCAAUUUCGCUGCCUGGUUGUAUUGUCUCGCUUUGUUAGGGUUGAUCAAGGAAGAGGAUUAUCAAGCUGUUGUUGCUAGGGUUUUUGUGAAAUACCUUGAAUUGAUGAGGAAAUUGCAGUUGGUUUAUUGCCUUGAGCCUGCGGGGUCUCAUGGUGUUUGGGGUUUGGAUGAUUAUCACUUCUUGCCGUUUAUUUUCGGGUCAGCGCAGUUGAUUGAUCAUAAGUAUAUGAAACCUAAGUCGAUUCAUAAUGAUGACAUACUCGACAAUUUCUCGAAUGAGUACCUUUAUCUUUCGUGCAUUGCGUUUGUGAAGAAGGUGAAGAAGGGUGUGUUUGCGGAGCAUUCGCCGAUGUUGGAUGAUAUCAGCGGCGUGCCCAAUUGGAACAAGGUGAAUGGUGGUAUGCUUAAGAUGUACAAAGCGGAAGUGUUGGAGAAGGUUCCUAUCAUGCAGCAUUUCCUGUUUGGCUGGCUCAUCAAAUGGGUUCUAAGUCUCCUCUGAAAUCGCUCCACAACCCUAUCCUAACCUGCCUUGGCCUCAAACGACGAUCUCAAAGGUAGUUUGGUCAUUGGUGUAUCAGCUUUGUUUGCACAUGGUGUGGAAACAAAUUGAAGGCAUUUUGCUUCCCGGAAUUGUAAUGAUAUAUACUUGAGUGGAAAAGUAUUGCAGAGAAAAUGUAUACUGUUGGUCGUAUGUGUUCUCAUCAAGUUUUCUAUCUUUUCUAGUCUACAGCUAAUUCUUCUUUGGCUUUGGAGGGAAUUUUUUGAUAACUAUUUUUUUUGUCUUUCUUUUUUUUUUUUUUUUACUUAU
Camellia sinensis is the source of this 1609-nucleotide non-coding RNA. Lineage: Eukaryota; Viridiplantae; Streptophyta; Magnoliopsida; Ericales; Theaceae. The record is from RefSeq and is a predicted model, not a curated record.